This 396-nucleotide ribosomal RNA is filed under the name uncultured bacterium. Its description in RNAcentral is "bacterial SSU rRNA". It matches the Rfam family "Bacterial small subunit ribosomal RNA", at positions 28 to 419 of the family's 1533-position model. The record is from RNAcentral.
GAUGAACGCUAGCGGCAGGCUUAACACAUGCAAGUCGAGGGGCAGCGGGAUGUAGCAAUACAUUGCCGGCGACCGGCGCAAGGGUGCGUAACGCGUGAGCAACAUGCCCGUCACAGGAGGAUAAACCAUGGAAACGUGGCCUAAUACUCCAUAGUAUGUUUUGGAGGCAUCUCUGAGACAUUAAAGCUUCGGUGGUGACGGAUUGGCUCGCGUGACAUUAGCUAGAUGGAGAGGUAACGGCUCACCAUGGCGACGAUGUCUAGGGGAACCGAGAGGUUAAUCCCCCANACUGGUACUGAGACACGGACCAGACUCCUACGGGAGGCAGCAGUGAGGAAUAUUGGACAAUGGAUGGAAAUCUGAUCCAGCCAUGCCGCGUGCAGGAUGACGGCCCUA